Gymnogyps californianus (California condor) is the source of this 433-nucleotide long non-coding RNA. RefSeq lists it as uncharacterized. Lineage: Eukaryota; Metazoa; Chordata; Aves; Accipitriformes; Cathartidae. The transcript has 3 exons. The record is from RefSeq and is a predicted model, not a curated record.
AAUAAUGCAAUGGCUGGAAGACAAGGAAGCAGCGGAGUAACUGGGCAGAUGCACUGGAUAUUAGCAAUAAUUCUGAUGCUGUGGAGUCACCAGAUCAGUGGACAAGGACAAGAUGGCAUCCAAGCUUGAUAACAGAAGGUACAAGGGAUUAAUAUUUCGCUGCAAAACAACAGUUUGAGCAGCAUUUUCCUUCUGAGGCCUGGUUUAGCAUCAUGAAGUGAUGAAGUACUGUGAGUGCUGCUGCUUUGACACAUUUCCAACUGCAUUUGGGAUAAAGUAUAAUGUCACUUUAUGGUUACUACCAUGCAAAUGGGUGCUCAUCUUUCCUGUACAGCAGGCCAUUCCCUGAGUCUCAGCGUUUGCUCAUUGAAAGCUAUCAGUAAAAUUCAGAUUUUACAUGCAUUGGUAAUAUAGUCUUGUGAAUAUGAACAUA